This 519-nucleotide ribosomal RNA is filed under the name uncultured eukaryote. RNAcentral describes it as "SSU rRNA". It matches the Rfam family "Eukaryotic small subunit ribosomal RNA", at positions 1161 to 1699 of the family's 1831-position model. The record is from RNAcentral.
AGGGCACCACCAGGAGUGGAGCCUGCGGCUUAAUUUGACUCAACACGGGAAAACUCACCCGGCCCGGACACUGAAAGGAUUGACAGAUUGAGAGCUCUUUCUUGAUUCAGUGGGUGGUGGUGCAUGGCCGUUCUUAGUUGGUGGAGCGAUUUGUCUGGUUAAUUCCGAUAACGAACGAGACUCUAGCCUACUAAAUAGAUCGCCGGUUUACAAACACCGGUGAGACUUCUUAGAGGGACAGGCGGCGAUUCAGCCGCAUGAAACAGAGCAAUAACAGGUCUGUGAUGCCCUUAGAUGUCCGGGGCCGCACGCGCGCUACACUGAAGUGAUCAGCGUGCAUUUUAAGCCUACUCUGCCAAGAGUGGGAAACCCAAUGAACCUCCUUCGUGAUUGGGAUAGGGGAUUGUAAUUAUUCCCCUUGAACGAGGAAUUCCCAGUAAGCGCGAGUCAUAAGCUCGCGUUGAUUACGUCCCUGCCCUUUGUACACACCGCCCGUCGCUACUACCGAUUGAAUGUUUU